Molecule: small RNA, 4717 nt
Filed under: Drosophila pseudoobscura pseudoobscura
Lineage: Eukaryota; Metazoa; Arthropoda; Insecta; Diptera; Drosophilidae
Description: GA31912
Source: RNAcentral
GAAGAGCGCUUAACUCUGUUUAGUCCUGACAAAUGGGUCAGAGGUUAAUUUUCAAAAACGCCUGAGCCGAAAGGCCCAGCCCAAGCCCCCCCCUGGAUCCACAGCAAUCGUAAUAAGCCAAAGGACAAGAAAAUGUCCCCCCCCCCACACCCGCGCCACAAAGGCAUAUCCGUCAGAAAAAAAAAAAACAAAACACAAAUUUUGGGGCGCCCAUUCCCGCUGUCAUUCCUCACUUUUGUUUUUCUUUUGAAUUUUUCAUAAAGGAAACAGAAGCGAAUUUUGUGGACAUUAAAAUGCCACAAAACGUUUUAUAGUAAUUUUUCAUCUUUUCGACGGUCGGCGGUCGAAUGGUCCGCACUCCCCCGCAAAGAUGGGGGUGAACAGGACACGGGGUUUGGCUUCGGUCUCGGUUUUGGUGGGUGUUGGUGGGGCGAUUGUGUGCGGGCUCUGUUCGGGCUGAGGAGGGUUCCGUUCCCCGGGCGGCGGAAAGCGGCGGAAAGCGCCGGAAAGCUGUCGACAUUUAUGUUGAUCUCACGCAGCGAAAUAACACGGCGCACGCAUCCUAUGCUGAUAAAUUUUUAUCUUUGUAUGACAAGUUAAUAAUGUGCCAGUCCAGGCGCCGUCGUCUGCGACAUCCUUCUGCCAGAGAAUGGACGGCACCGGCCCGGGGUUGCGCCAUGUAGAUUCCUUCAUUGCUUUUGCAUCCAGAUCCGGACCCGCGGCAUCAAAUGAAAGUUGCUUUAUUUUUUGUUGUUUUUGUUGUUUCUGUUCUUAUUGAAAUUUCGUUAGGCCUGCCAAGGCCGUAGGUAAAGUAUUUCCGUGGACUUUUAACGGAUUUAUUGUGAUUUUUGGGUCACGUGACUGUCGAGGAAUUUGUUCAGCCUCUUUCCGCUUAUAAUUGCUUUUCAUUUGAUUCAUUCCCCUCGAUAGAGCAAACACAAAGCCGAGUGGGAGAGAAAUAUAACUUUGAUGUUUUUUUACAUGGACUAUUAAUGGACUAUUUGUUUUUCUUAGUGUAUAUACUAUAUCCUUGAUAUAUUCGUAGUGGAUGAUAGUGGCUGUCCUUGGAAGUUGGAAAACCCUACUUGUGGUUCUGUGAAUUUAUACCCAUAGAUAUGCACCGAGAGUGAACAUUUUAAACAGAAAGUGUCUUCUAUCACAUUUUAACUUUAUUUAUUUUGUUCUUUAUAUGCAUCGAACUGAAGAUACGAUGCUUUAAUCUAUAAUAUAAAUAUAUAAGAUAAUAUUUUAAAGAGUGUAGAGGGCUUGAACGGCCUUAUGGGCUAAGCUAAAUUUCAUUAAGGGUGUUAUUCAAGAUAUUCAGGCAUAAUUUGAUCUUUCAAGAGUCGAGAUCUAAAUAGGAUUGUAAGGGGGUAUAGAGAUGUUCUUAGAAUUUGUAGAUGAGAUUCUUGGGUAAUUUACCAUUAAAAUGAAAAGAUUUUAUCACUAUAUACCAAUACCAUAUACCUCUGAGUGUAGAUAUGCUACGAUAUUCAAUGUUUUCCACGCAACUAAAACACUUGCACAAUAUGAUUCAGAAUAUCUGAUAAUGUAUUCCCGCUUUCGCUGUCGUUUGUACACAUUUAUUGCAUCUUUUUGUACAUAUCCAAGUGCUUAAAGAGCGGACCAGAGCCUGACAUUUGGUCAAGGGAAAUAUCGAGAGAGCAACAAAUUAUAAAGUAACGCAUAUUCGACAGUUUCGAACCGAAAAAUUGUUUUUACAUUCAUAUCUCGAAAGUUACGACACCCCUGGGAAGCGGGUGCUGGUCACUUAGCCACCAGGACCAGAGUCCUCCCCCCCCCAAACACUCCGGUCACAUAAAUAGCAAACAGCAACGUUCCCGUUCCGGACAUCGUUGAGGGUCGGUUCUUCGGCAUGGAAUGCCACUUGCCGUUGAGUAUAAAUCUUGCAUCGGAAUCACAGGCCCAGACCAAGAGAGUGUUUAGUAUGCGAAGCCACACGCGAAUAUUCCAUAUUACGAUGGGGGGAUACUCGGAUUGGGGAAAGCUGAGCCAAGAAAACGGACGGAAUGGACGGCACGGUAUGGCUCGGUAUUGGGGCGGCGAAGAGGCAGGGUGUAAAAAAUUUAAUGCUAUUUUUAAGGGAUUCUUUUCAAUUUAUUAUAGUUUGUGGCCUGAUCGAUUCCACCUUAUGAAUUCUACUAUGGGAGUACGCAUUUUAAAUGCAUAAAUAAAAUUUCUAGAACUUGGAAAAGGGCUCUAGGAUACUAAGGGAUAAUAUGUGGCCUCGAAGAUGCUUUCAGCUAUGGGUUAAUGGGGUGCUCUGCUCUUGGUAUCAGCUGUGGUUUCCACUAGCCACAAACCUGAACGGAUAACAAGUAAUUUUAUAAUUCUACAUUCCUGGAAAACUCUGUAAGGUGUGAAUUGAAAUUAUAGAAUAAUCAGAUUAGCCCUGGUGCUUCCAGGCCAUAAGGUUAAAUAAUCCAAGGGACCACAAGUCGUUUAAUUGGCUUUUAUUUAAGUCGAAACUUUGUUCCAUUUCGUAUCACUUAUUCAUGGCUCUCUCCAGCGCCAGACCUAAUCAAACGAACAUCUUUGAUGUUAUCUGCCAACCUCUAUGGGCUUUGAUUCAAUUGGCAAAACAAUUUGGUCUAUUCUAAGGGGAGAGGACAAGUCAUUUGUAAAUUGGGUUGGGUUAUAAAAUUUCAUUUUUACCGCUUCAUUGCCCUAAUAGAAACAAUUUAUUGAAUGCCGGAGCAGCUCCGAAACCUCCCCGAACUCUGGGCUCUGGGCGGUGGGCUCUGUCUGAUGCUGUGUGGCUUAAAUAAAUGUAAAUUUGCAUUGGCCAGAACCAGUACCAGUAGUAGUAGCAGUUUCCUCAUAUUAACGGGGAAGAGAAUCCUAUGAUGCUCGGGGAUACGAUACCAAUGGAUGGUGGUACAAGACCAGAGCAGAGCAGGCACCACCCGGCCUGGCCGUUGUGUCCCUUCUAAACGUUCUAUAAUUUGCUUAUUAUGCGCUUCCUGCUGCUCGCUUUUAUGUUUUGCCACAUUUUCUGGCACCCAGAGCCGAGCCGAGGACCAAAAACUGGGCAUAAAAUACGCACCCCAAUUGCUUCCUUCCAGUCACAAAACCGACGGAAGCCCCCGUGGUCGUGACCCCGUACCCUCAAUGGUUCAUAUUUUGUCAUAAUUUAUGUCGCUCUGGGUGUUGUUGCUGAUGUUUUGGGUUGGCUUCUUCUGGUCCUGGUCCUGGCCCUCCUCUGCAUCCGCUCCAGGCCAAGCAGCACCAUCACCAGCACCGCAGCAGGGCAUAUCUGUCAGAAGAUGCUGCGCGAGAGAGGAGGGAUGCUGCUACAGGAUGGACUCUGAUGUGCAGAUGGAUACAGGAUAGCAGAGAGAGCAGACACACGGAUACACUGAGACAAACAAACUUUAAGGUGGCAUUCAUUUCGAUUCGAAAAUGGACUCCUUCCUCGCGCGAGUAUUUUCGGGCAGUGUAUGCCUGGUUCCCCCUCGCGGCGUGGUGGCCCCGCAUGUUACGCAUUUCCUCUUGGGAUUCCAGGGCAUUGGGCGCUGUUCUUUUGAUAUUGUAAUGUGCAUAAUAGGAUUUUUAUGACACCUUUACUGUGGGGGCGGGCGGGCAUCAGGCAUCGCCAAUGGCACCAAUGGCUGCUGCCUCGCCUAAUCGCCAGAAGGACUGGCAGACUGGCCCCCUGUUUCCGCUGCUGAUGCUCUCCUUCUUGUCACCAAAAAGUUGCAAAUUUUAUUGGCCGGAUGUGCGGAUGUGCGGAUGUGCGGCAGCGGCAUGUGGAUUGUGGAUUUGCAUCAGAUCAUGAAUUUCACACGAUGGUAAUGGCCACAUUAGCAUUGACUACACGCAUUUAUGGCCCAGACCACACCCCAACCCCCAACCCCACCUCCAUUCUCCGGCCCAGGGGUAAGGUAAGUGCAUGUGCUAAAUUUUUAAUAUGCAAAUUUCGUUUCAGGGCUGCCGCCUGUGCGCUCACCUUUCGCAUUUCAUUUACACUUGUGCUGCAUAUUUUAUUGUGUUGUAUGUACACGGCAUUAUUGCACACAAAUGGCCAGUUACAUAUUAAGCCGAACAAUAACCGCCGACUGUGUUGUCAGGACUCUGGGGGAAACCCGGAUGUGGAUGUGGAUGCGAAUGUGGAUAUGGGUCCUCCAGAUGGCUGGCAAAAUGCCAUUUGAUUCGAGCGACACUUGGGGCUGUCUCUGUCUCCUGCUCCUGCCUCGUUGCGCAUCGUUUGGGAGCCCCUCCUCUCUAAUGGCUGUACGGAAUUAAUUUUCCAAAACCUUUUGAAAGGUGUCGCCUCCAUGCAAUUCCAAGGAGAUCGAUAAGUCCAGGGAGAGCUAAAUUGUGGAUUUACAUUGAGAGGCCACAGUAAAUCAUCGUUCUGCGAGUACGAGUAGUAUGUGCCUGGAAUGAGCCGUCGAAAAUCAAUAGCGUGAGACACUCCAGACAAAGCCAACAGGAGGCAACCCUUUCAAUCAGCAGCAUCAGAUGUACGACGAGUAUUCUCCACGCGUCGAUGGCCAUCAGCAGCCCCGAGGACACGGACACGGACACGGACAUGGACACGGACACAAUGCGAUGCUAUCGCAGAUCAAGUUGCUUUAACCUCCCCAUCAAUUAAAGUAAGAGGCUUUUUCUUUAUUUUAUCUAUUGUGGCUUUUGGUCCAGCUGUUGGCUGUAUUUGGUUGAAUUUUAAGUGAAAUUUCAAUAUUUAUAAAUU